AUUGAACGCUGGCGGCAUGCCUUACACAUGCAAGUCGAACGGCAGCACGGGAGCAAUCCUGGUGGCGAGUGGUGAACGGGUGAGUAAUAUAUCGGAACGUGCCCAGUCGUGGGGGAUAACGCAGCGAAAGCUGUGCUAAUACCGCAUACGAUCUACGGAUGAAAGCGGGGGAUCGCAAGACCUGGCGCGAUUGGAGCGGCCGAUAUCAGAUUAGCUAUUUGGUGAGGUAAAGGCUCACCAAUGCGACAAUCUGUAGCUGGUCUGAGAGGACGACCAUCCGCUCUGGAACUGAGACACGGUCCAGACGCCUACGGGAGGCAGCAGUGUGGAAUUUUGGACAAUGGGCGAAAGCCUGAUCCAGCAAUGCCGCGUGCAGGAUGAAGGCCUUCGGGUUGUAAACUGCUUUUGUACGGAACGAAACGGUGAGCUCUAAUACAGUUUGCUAAUGACGGUACCGUAAGAAUAAGCACCGGCUAACUACGUGCCAGCCGCCGCCGUAA
RNAcentral lists this ribosomal RNA (500 nucleotides) under uncultured bacterium. RNAcentral's name for it is "partial 16S ribosomal RNA". It matches the Rfam family "Bacterial small subunit ribosomal RNA", at positions 30 to 523 of the family's 1533-position model. The record is from RNAcentral.